Chelonia mydas (Green sea turtle) is the source of this 10273-nucleotide long non-coding RNA. RefSeq lists it as uncharacterized. The transcript is spliced from 2 exons. The record is from RefSeq and is a predicted model, not a curated record. Lineage: Eukaryota; Metazoa; Chordata; Testudines; Cheloniidae.
UUUUGCUACACUCAGACUCUGUGCCUGUGCAAGGGGAAGUAUUGCCUCUUAGAGGCACCCAAGUGGUGGUGUGUAAUUGUUCCAGGUCACUGGGUGGGGGCUCGAGCUGGUUUUGUGUUGCAGUGUUGAAAACGAACCCCUAGACACUGAACCCAGCCCUUGUUGCUGCCAAUUCUGACUGGCAGAAGGGCUACUAGAGGAAAUGCUUGCUGAAGCAAGAGAGACACUCAGCUCCAGUGACCAUCACUGGUGGGAAGAAAGAAUUGAGGAGGCGGUGGGUCGGCAGGGACCUAUAUGCAGUGACAUGAAGGCGCGACUCCAGGGGGGCACCCAGGCUGAUCCAACGGGUACUGUUGGGGAAAAAAAACUUUCCAAUGUCUGUGCAUGCGGCAUGCAUACAUCUUCUUGGAAUGGACAUGAGCAACACAUCUCGAAGAACAACAGUUACGAGAAGGUAGGUAACCGUUUUUUAUUGUUGCCGCUGCAUAGGUGGCUGCUGAUCAUGAUGAUGUGUCCAGUCCUCCACCCCAUGUAUUGUUGUGGGUAUAUAGAGUUUUGUGUAUAUAUAUUUGUGAAAUCUGUCUUUUUAUUGGUCACUAAUCUCACACAUGUUACCACUCAUCACAAGGGCUCCUUUGUUUAUAAAUUUGGAGCCAGCCUGCUUGUGUACAACAGGUGUAUUUUUGAUUUUUUGGUUGCCUGAAAACUUGGUGGCAUUUUCUUACUCCAUCUGACAUCUCCUAUUUAGACUCUAAGUGGCUAUCUAUAGUAGGGUCACCAGACAGCAAGUGUGAAAAAUUGAGACAGCGGGUAGGGGGUAAUAGGUGUCUAUAUAAGUCAAAGUCCCGAAUAUCGGGACUCUCCCUAUAAAAUUGGGACAUCUGGUCACCCUGAUCUAUAGUCUGGGCUCAGACCCGAGGAAGGGCUCUGAGUAACUCGAAAGCUUGUCUCUCUCACCAACAGAAGUUGGUCCAAUAAAAGAUAUUACCUCACCCACCUUGUCUGUCUAGUAUGUAGAAAGAUUGUUUAAAUUAUGACACUUUUCUUCUAUAAGCUAUUUUAAAAAAUUCUUAUUUAAUUAAAAAUUCAAAGCAGUCCUAACAUUAUGUCCUUAGAACCUUUUGAUAAAGUAGAUAGCUGUGUGAACAUCUGUCCUCCAGUUUUCCUUGGCUAUCUGUUCAAUAUUCUUUUGUUUUUUGUAUAUUUGGAAAUUGGUUCUAAGUCACCUUUCUACUGUUUAAAAUAAUUGUUAUUGGUUAGAUCUUAGGAGAGAAGUUACUUUCUGCUUUCCAGUUUCUUAUAACAGGAUCAAAUGGAUCACCUUAGUUUCAGUUCAGAUAGAGUUUCAUAGGAACAAUGAAAUGACUGCAAGCACAUAUUGCCAAUUCUAGCCUGUAGGAUUUCUCUCUCCUACCUUGAAAGGUGGCAAGACAAUUACGGAUAUCCUUGUAGAUCUUCUUUAAAGCUGGGCAGUGAAUGAAAUGCAUAACCUUCCAACUCAAUGACAUUUAACCCAACCACACAUCAGUUCAGGCAGAAAAAUAAAUUGGUACUCAGCUGCUCCCUGUCUAUUUUUCUGGUUAGGGCUAUAAAUAAAAGAAAUUAUUGUGGUUUCACCUGUGUGAUUUUGUGUGUACGUGUGCUUUGUUCUGUUGUUCCCAACAGGAAGGACUGGAGGAGGCUGUACCCAGACUUUAUUAUGCAGCUAACCAUUUAAAACAUCUAUAUUCAAUUUCACAUUCCUUUAAAAAAUGCUUGUUAAGCUGUAUAUAGACCACCCACCUUUUCUUCUGUCUUUUAUCCUUUCCCUUCUUACUCAUGCAAUGCAAUUGCAUCACUCAGUUGUGACAUUAAAAUGACAGUGUACCAUACACUAUUGUAACCAAAAGUAAUAUCCUGCUGAAAUGAGGUCUGAGCAUAUUUACACAAUAAUGUAUAGACUCUAUAACUAGUAAUGAUGUACCAGAGGACAGAAUGGUAAGAGAUAUACAGAAAGUGAAGCUUUUAGGUGGAUAUGAAAUCUAUCUUUAAAAAAGUAGCAGUGAGUAAUCUCCUGCACCAAACUCCUUUAUCCUUUUCCAAAGACAUUUUUAGUUUUCCAUAGUGUUUGUAAGCUCACAUGAUCUCACAAAAUGCUAUAGAUUCCUAUCUGCCCCCCCCCAAAAAAAACCACAACCAAACAAAAAACUCCUUGUUUUAAAAAAACUCUUACAAUGGCAAGACCAAAACCCUUUUUUGUGAGCAGUGCUAAAUGAAUCCUUGCCAUUUCUUAGCUAAUGAGGAACUUGUUUUGUGUUCUGUAAAUGCUUAGCACUUAGCAGUGUUAGUAAUGCUUAAAAAAAAGUCUUUAAAAUGGUUCAGUUACCAAGUGCUUUUGACUCUCUCAGUAAGACAUUGAAGCAGACCUUCUGCUCUGAAUUAAUAAGGCCAAUCCAAAGCACACAAAGCCCAGAGUGACCGAGUAUUCUUCUGGUGUCUUCACUGUCUGUACAGAGAUCAGAUAAAUCACUCUCAAGCAGUUAAAUCAAUGAUAAUAAAUUAGGACCCUAUUUUUACAGCACCUUGUGGUAAAUUCUCAUGGUUAGAUUAAUUUAUCAGCUGCAGUGAAGAGCACCUCCCACAAGAUCAUGUCAGGGAAGAUGUUUUUCUUUUUUUAAAGGCAAAAAGAAAUGACUGAAUUAUUUGUUUUUACAUAAUACACAAAAUGGAAUUCCUCAGCCUAUCCCAGCUAAUUCAUGUUUCAAUUGUACCCAGCUGUUUAAAUUGCACUGCUUAGAGAUUGCCUUGAUCCCCAGGUGCAGGUACUCCAUCUGUGCUGCUCUGAGAGACUAUUUACAGCAGAGGUUAGGCCAGUGAUUGCUGGGAUGGAAAACUCAUUUCUCAGCCUGGCUUUUAUUUACACUCUUAUUAAAGAUCCUUUCACUCAUGUUGGAAUGGCAGCUAGUGGCUGCAGUGAACAUUUGGCGCUGAGCCAAGCAGCAAAAUUACCAUGUUGAUGAAAGAUAGUCUGCUUCCAUUUUAACCUUUUACUGUUCUCCCCUUUCCAAGUAUAUUUGCAUGAAGAAGAAUGAUUAUUGAAAGAGAUAGGGGGACAAAAGAGGAAAGAAACCUUGUCAGCUGAGCUCUCCAAGUUAAAAAUAACUGUUUGCCACCAAUUUGGAAAAAAAAAAGUAUUGCUUUAUUAAUUGGAUAUGCCUUUCCCUUAAUUAUUAUUACAGUCUGUUUUCUUGUGAAACAGUAGAGCCACUCAUGUCUCCCUCCUGCCCUCUCCCCCCAACCUUGUGAACACUUCCUGGGAUAUAACUGUAGUGAAGCGGUUUCUAUUUCAUCUCAGAUGCAGUGCACAGACAGCCGCAGCAACGCCCUGAAAAUACUUUGCCUAAAAAUAUUUGCCCUUCAGUUAGAAAUUAAUCAUCUUCCUGAAUGUAAGCUCUUAGUGCAAUUUGUACAAUCCAUCUUCCUUUAGAGAAAGGAAAGAUAUUGGCUCUUGCUGUCUAAGGCUGCCCUGCCAUUCAGCAAUGUAGCUAUCGACCUGGCAGUGGUUUUUUGUUUUUACAUAUUGUCCAGAAACAUCUGUUUCCAGGACCAAGAUAUGAUUGCUUAACAGUAACAAAAUCCAGAUCAGCUGCAUUAAGACAACGAACAAUGUUCUUGAGUGCCAGCUGCAGUGUGGCCACAUCUAAGAGCACAACAAUGAGAAGAUGCAACCAAAUCCCCAACCUCACUGCUACUGCCCAAGCAAAUACUUUCAACAUAAAACACCCAAACAAAAAUGCCAGGGUGGUGCUACUUCUUGGUUGUUGGUACUACACUGCUUCCUCCUCCUAGGUGUUUGAGUUAGAGGAGGAGAUUCCACUUUAGCUUCCCUUUCCCUUGGGAAGAGUGUUUUUAUUUGGGGCUGGUCUUAAAAUCCCAGGUCCUGCAGUUAUGGGAUUCGGUAAAAAUCUCAGCUUCUUUUUCGAGAGAUGAUCCCUAUGCGGAUUCCAAAUGUGGGUGCGCAUGCACGCCAGGCACCAGAGCUGGAACUGUUCAUAGUAGUGUCUGUUGAACUACAUGUGCGGCACUCUCAUGACACGUCCAAGGCUUUGAGGCUGUAUGGGUCAAUGCCACUCCAGUUCCUUCUUACAGCUGCAUGGCCAGCAUCAGAACCCCUGAGCCUGCUAAAAGAUCUGCUGUCCGCUUCUUUUUUGCACAUAGUUUCUAGUUGUAUAUAGUUGUUUGCUACUGCAGUUAGUUAGAUCUUCCUUGGACUUUUAUCCCUGCGGAGCCCUUACCCAGGGGACUAUGCCUAGGCAAGCCGGUUUUAACAACUGUGCUUUGUGUCUGCGUACCUUCUCUGUCAGCAACAAACAACACUGUUGCCUUUACUGGCUUGGCAAAGCACCAUCGUCGCCCAUUGCUCCAUCUGCCGUUCGUUCCCCUCCAGAACUCAAGCAGCUUGAGAACUUUGCCACUGCAAGUACCUAAUGGAGGAGGCUAUGCGCUACCAGAUCCGCCAGAGCGGCACCUGCAGCGCCUCCCUGGGCCCAAAAAGCUCGAAAACCUUAACACUUAAGGUGCACAAGCAUUAUUUCUUUUCAAUGCCAUGGGUUUUAAGGGCCUUGGCUACACUUGAAAUGCUACAACUGCACUGCUGUAGCACUUCAGAGUAGACACUACCUAUGCUGCAGGGAGGGAGUUCUCCCAUCAGUGUAGGUAAAAUCUACUUCCCCCAGAGUGGGUAGCUAGGUCAACAGAAAAAUUUUCCCAUUGACCUAGCACCAUCUACAUGGGGACUUAGGUCAGCUUAAAUACAUUGCUCAGUGUUGGGGCGGGGGAGGGAUGUUGCCUUUUCACAACCCUGAGCGACAUAGCUGGGUUGAUCUAAGUGUAGGCCAUGGAAUAUAUUGCUAUAAUAUUUAGAAAUAAAAAGAAUAGUUUCACUGUGGUGAGGAGCCUACAAAGGAGGCCAACAGGUCCAAUCCAAACACUUUAACUCUUGCAAAUUAAGUCUGGCCAAAUCAUUCACCUUGUUUCUGCUAGAGAGAGUUUUCCUGUUCCUGUAGAACUAAUUUUGAUUAUCGAGUUGUUGUUGUUGAUGUUGGUAAUUGUGGAGAUAUUUAGGGCAUGAUUUUUGAUUAGUUCCCCAAACAUUAGCAUAUUUGCUUUCUUCUCAGAAUCAACGGAUCCUGGGGGUUUCCAGAAGGGGACAGCUUUGCUUGAAGCUGAAGCUCUGAUCCUGUAAAAGCUUAAACAUGUACCUGAAUAAUCCCAUUGACUAAUAUGCAUAAAGUUAAGAGCAGCAGCUUCAGCACUGGAGGAACCCCAGAGACACAUCUCAUAGGCGAGAUUUCAAACCAAAAACGCACCCAGACAGAAGUGCUGAGGCAAAAGCUACUGAAGCUCCAAAGUGAAGGCCCAAGGUCACUGAACCAAAGUGCCUCUGAGGUCUGGUACCCUGUUGGUGCCCCUGAAUAUGCAGUGAGAUCACCAAAAUAGAACAAGCAGGAACAGAGAUGGGAACACUUGAAAGGAUAGUGAAGCAGAAUAGGUGCUGAGUUGCCUGAAGAACUGGAUCGGUGCUGCUGGGAGCUCGUUUUCCACCCUUGUGCAAGAAGAACUGAUGGGAUAAUUCCAGAUGUAACAUUUAAGUUUAGAAGAGGCCUGAGACCAUUAGUACAGGGAUUGGCCUUGCAUUCCUAGCUCGUGCUGCUGCCUUUAGGGAACAACAACAAAAACAAAAAGAGUCUUAAGAAAAUCUUAAGGGAAUUCUGACUGUCUUGCUUUCGGGAACAAAUAUUCAGGAGUGAAAAAUUAGGCACAUCUGAUAUCUUUAAAGACAGGACAAUUACGUUUUAACAUGCCCAGAGAGGAAAAUGGCGUUCGAAUCCAAGAGACAAGGUGGGCGAGGUAAUACCUUUUAUAGGACCAGCUUCUGUUGGUGAAAGAGACACAUUGUCAAGCUUACAAAGAGGUCUUCUCCAGGUCUAAUCCCAAACUGUUAAUUGGUUUAUGGCCACAAAAAUGACUGUUUAUCACCUGCAUAUAUGUUUUGUCUUAUAUAAUGUAGCUGUAGCUAGCCUGAUCAUUCAUACAAAUACCUAAGCCUUUUAAAAUCCUACUUUAGUUCUUUGCCUCAUAUCUGGUGGCAGCACAGACUAGGUCUGCAGACUAAUUAUGCAGGGAGUAAAAAUAUAUUUCCUUAGAUCAUGUUUAAAUUUGUCCCUUCUUAAUUUAAUUGGAUGAGUCUUGCUCUUGUAUUGCCAAAUAGGGUGAAGAAGAGCCCCCCCAACCGACCUCUUCUGCACCAUUAUUUUUUAUACCUUUGUUAUGUUCCCUCUUACUCAUCUUGCUUUAGAACUACAUAGUUGUUCUUUCAGUCUCCUCCUUAGCUUUCCAUACCGCUAAUCAUUUCAGUUGUCCUUCCACUGUUUUGCAAAGUAGAACACUUUAAAAAAAUCCUUCUUUGUCAUUCCCCAUAAAAGCAGGACGUGCAAUAACUUUAGCUUAUACACUCUUCCUGCCACAGUUCUACAGUAGACCGGGGAUCAGUAAACGUUGCAACCUAGGCUCAUACGCUAGAAACAUUGAGCAGCUAGCAGAGGAAUGUGUUUAAGUAGAUAUCAUUUUUCAGGCCAUUAACAGCUUUUCAGUAAUUAGGCAAAACACAGUAAAAUGCUACAACUUGCAUCAUUCCUCUAUGAUGUUUAGUUAAUUCCUGACAUCCUGUAAAAGUAGCAAGCAUAAAUUAUAGUGCCAAACAGUUCACAAUAUAUAGGAUGUAUAAAGAGAAAUUAUUACUUUGGGUCUGAGUUGCGAAUGCUGCCUAAUUCCUAAGGAAUGAAAAUGGCAAGCACAUUACACUAGCCACUCUAAUGCAUAGUUUAGACCAGUGCUUCUCAAAUGUGGCCACAUACAGCCAGCGGGAGCUUUUUUUGCGGCCACAGCCUCCUAGGCUGUUAUAGGCCGGGGUCGGGCAAAGUAAAGACCCCUCCCUGUUGCUCCUGAAGGCACUGCCUUGGUGUUAGUUGCUGGGGCCGCCAGCAGUGGUUUGGCCCUGCUCCCCCUGUGGAGGCACCUGGGACACAAUUUGGAGGACCAGGCAGGUGGUGAGUUCCCCACCUUCCCAGGGGUGGUGGGGUUCAGGCUUUGGGCUUCAGGAGCCCUGGGGUGGCGGGAGAACGGGGCAGCAGGCUCUGGGCUGCAGCUCCCCACCCACCCCCAUUGCCCCUAGCCCCCACUGCCUUCCCUGAACCCUCCUCCCCCCCCUCCCCGAUCCAGGGCUUAAUUUGUCCCCAUGCUUGACAGGGCUGAGUAAGUCUGCUGUGAAAAGCCUACUUGUAUGCUUGUCAAUAUCACUUUUCACAACAGACUCACUAAUUAUAAUGAUUUAAAUAGCUAUAUGUGCGUAUUUAUUUGUUUUUCCUAAAGCAAAUUAAGUAUUUUAGGAAGACGUGUGAGAGCGGCCACCAGCAAGAGUUGGUGGCAGCACUUUGAGGCCACCAAAAAAUUUGUCCAGCGAACCCCUGGUUUAGACUGUAUCUGAGGGGAGAGCAAUAGAACCACUCUAGGGCUAGUCAUUUAAGAAUAUUGUACUUGGAAGGGCACUGAUUAUAGGUUAAAAAAAGGCUUUGAUAUUCUUUAGUUCCUUGUCAUUGCAUACUAUAGACCAGAGGUGGCCUAGCUGCAUGUGGUGCUUUUACAGUUAAAGUACGGCUUGCGGGGCCCCUCCCCCAUUCUCUGCCUACCAGAUGGGGGGGCAGGGGAGUUCAGGGUUUCUACCCUGCAGCAGCAGGGUGGGGCUAGGGGCUUCUGCUGAAGAUGAUUGGUACCUGCUGAGAGUGGGGGGCACAAUUUAAAGGUUCAGCUACCCCAACAGCUUGAGUCCCGCCCCCCACCCCCACCCCAGGCAUGCCCCACCCGUUACCUUCAGCAGCCCCUCCCUGCAGCUCCCAGCUGUUAGCUCUGCAUGGUGAGGCAGCGGUAAACAGCUGGGAUCUGCAGGGAGGGGGCGGCUGUUUAGGCACCGCAGGGAGAUAGCAGUGGCUCUUCCUCCAGCUCCCAGCUGUUUGCCACUGUAUUGCCCCACAGCUGCAGCGCCCAGCUUGUCGGCUCCAGCACCUAGCCCACACACAUUGCCUCUGGCUUCAGACCAGUGGGAAUGGGGUCUUGGGGCUUCAGCCCUGCAGAGCACUCCUGCCAGGGCUCAGGGCUUCAGCAGGAGCAAGGCAUCAGCCUCAAGCCCUGGCAGGCACCUCCCAUGGGGCUGAAGCCCCAAGACCCACCCCCCCAAACCUCCCCGCAAGGCUGAAGCCCCGAGCCCCAGCAGAUGCACCCUGACGCUUCAACUUCUGAAGACUGUUGUAUGUGGCUUGGGGGUCAAUACAUUUGGCCACCCCUGCUCUAGACACUUGUUUUUGCACAUUCCAGAACAAAGAAAGGAGAUACAACCCUUGCCCCCACUAGGCAUGACUCAGCCAUAAACAAUGGGGCAUAUACUGAGGAAGAGCCAGGGUAAAAGUAAUCAAAAACCACACAGCUGCGCACUUCCUAGUAUGGUAAGUGACCAUUAGGGUCACUGGCUUAAUUUUUUUUUUUUAAGAAACUAAUUAAUUGUGACAAUACAGAACAAGUGUGUGUGUUUGUUUUAAGGAAAUAUUAGCCUGAAGGGCUGUGGUGUAAGGAGAAGAUUUUGAAAAGUGCAACCAGUAGCUUGGCACGUAACACUCAUUUGUGCCUUUAGAAAUCACCCCAGGCUGAACAGGGAUUGUACGCAUUAAAGUAUUACAGUUAAAGAGUAAAACAAACAAUCCAAUAUCAUUAAACUACAUAAAACCCUACAUUGUAUGGAUAAGGAAACCCUGAGUUACAUUUUAGUGUAACUAAUAUACUGGAGGAGGAGUAGGGAAAUGAAAAAAAAUAGCAUUAAUGUAAUAAGCUUUCUGGGGGUAUUUUCUUCACACAUGUAAACAUUGUGUGGUUUGAUUGCUGGGAAAUGUUUCUGAAGCUUUUUAACUAAGUGCUGGAGUUCUAUGAUAAGUGGUCUCCUGCAGAAAUAUUGCCCUGGGCUCUGGUCUGCUAUGAUUCAAAGAGGCAGGUACUACAUGCGUCUAGUGUGCCUUACAGAUGCUUCUUCACUUCUAUGACUCAAGCAUACAUUUGUUUAGUUUGGCGGAAUCAUCAGCGUUAUGUAGCUUGAGAAUUUAAGCCCACGAGUCCUAAGGAAGUGACCAUUCCUGAAAAUAUGUGAAUUUUGUGACAUUCUGUUCCCCAAAGCAGUACCUGGCACCCCCAUAUUUACCAUGGUGAUAUAAUUUGCGCACAGUAUGCCUUGUAAGGUAUCAUUCGAAAAGUCUUCAUCUGUUAAACAUUAAUAUCCUGUUGGAUUGUAUGUGCUGUCAUUGUAUCUAAAGUUAUGAAUAUUGACUAUGUACCAAUAUUUCAAAUAUGUUUGCUCCUUGAGUGACACCCAUAAUGCAGUUUACAUCCAGUCUAGACAGCACAUUGUGGAUGAACCAUUCAAAGUAAUAGUCCAUUAAGAAAAACAAUAGGCCACAGAAGAAGCUUAUCCUUGCUUGAUGGGCUUUCCUGUGGACACUUCAUACAGAAUCAGAGUAGCAGCCGUGUUAGUCUCUAUUCGCAAAAAGAAAAGGAGUACUUGUGGCACCUUAGAGACUAACAAAUUUAUCUGAGCAUAAGCUUUCGUGAGCUACAGCUCGCUUCAUCAGAUGCAUUCAUCCAAUGAAGCGAGCUGUAGCUCACAAAAACUUAUGCUCAAAUAAAUUUGUUAGUCUUUAAGGUGCCACAAGUACUCCUUUUCUUUCAGCCAGAAUGUAAGUAAUGGCUGUUAUGACUCAUCAAAGCAUGCAAGGACAUAUGAUACUGGACUCCAUCUUGUGCCUGUAUUUUUCCACAAACUGUGCUGGGGACUUUGCUUGGAACAAUGAAGUUCCCUCCACAUGGAAGAAGCUAUAAAAGUGAUAUCAUCACUGGGCCUCACUCCCCCUACAACACAACACCUAGAAACACAUCUGCAAGAAAAGACUUUGAAUGGGGGAUGGUGGUCCCCAGUGGGAAAGAAGGCAUCCCAGCCUGUGUAUGAACGAUCUGAGAACAGCUUGUACCAUCAGGGUGAGAGACUGCUUAAUUCAAAUCCUGUCUAGUUUAUAGAAAUUAGAUUGUGAUUUUGUUUCAUUUUCUAGGUAACUAACUUUGAUCUGUACACUUAUUAUUGUAAUCACUUAAAAUCUAUAUCUUUCGUAGUUAAUAAAUCUUUUAUAUUUUUCACCUAAAA